CGCAAGCCUGACGGAGCAACGCCGCGUGAGGGAGGAAGGCCUGUGGGUUGUAAACCUCUUUUCUCUGGGAAGAAGACCUGACGGUACCAGAGGAAUCAGCACCGGCUAACUCCGUGCCAGCAGCCGCGGUAAGACGGAGGAUGCAAGCGUUAUCCGGAAUUAUUGGGCGUAAAGCGUCCGCAGGCGGCCAAUUAAGUCUGCUGUCAAAGCCUAGGGCUCAACCCUAGAUCGGCAGUGGAAACUGGUUGGCUAGAGUACGGUAGGGGUAGAGGGAAUUCCCAGUGUAGCGGUGAAAUGCGUAGAUAUUGGGAAGAACACCAGUGGCGAAGGCGCUCUACUGGGCCGAAACUGACGCUGAGGGACGAAAGCUAGGGUAGCA
Molecule: ribosomal RNA, 379 nt
Filed under: uncultured cyanobacterium
Lineage: Bacteria; Bacillati; Cyanobacteriota
Description: bacterial SSU rRNA
Rfam family: Bacterial small subunit ribosomal RNA
Source: RNAcentral